UGCGAGUCGAGAGUCUUAGGGACUCGGCGUACCGCUCAGUAACACGUGGGUAACCUGCCCUAUGCUGGGGAAUAACCUCGGGAAACUGAGAAUAAUGCCCCAUAGUCCACUACGCCUGGAACGGUGAGUGGAUCAAAGCUCCGGCGGCAUAGGAUGGGCCUGCGCCGUAUCAGGUUGUAGGGGGUGUAAAGUACCCUCUAGCCAUCAACGCGUACGGGUGUUGGGAGACAUUGCCCGGAGAUGGAUUCUGAGACACGAAUCCAGACCCUACGGGGUGCAGCAGGCGCGAAAACUUGGCAAUGCGAGCAAUCGUGACCAGGGAACUCCAAGUGCUUGGGGUAAGACCCAAGCUUUUCUUGACUCUUCAAAGGUCUUGGAAUAAGGGGUGGGUAAGGACGGUGCCAGCCGCCGCGGUAAUACCGGCGCCUCAAGUGGUAGUCGCUUUUAUUGGGCCUAAAACGUCCGUAGCCGGUCUGGUGCAUUCGUGGGUAAAUCAACCCGCUCAACGGGUUGAAUUCUGCGAGCACGGCCAGACUUGGGACCGGGAGAGGUGUGGGGUACUCUCAGGGUAGGGGUAAAAUCCUGUCAUCCUGAGAGGACCACCUGUUGCGAAGGCGCCACACUAGAACGGAUCCGACGGUCAGGGACGAAACCUAGGGGCACGAACCGGAUUAGAUACCCGGGUAGUCCUAGGUGUAAACGCUGUGGACUUGAUGUUGGGGGCGCUCCGAGCGCUUUCAGUGUCGAAGCGAAGGUGAUAAGUCCACUGCCUGGGGAGUACGGUCGCAAGGCUGAAACUUAAAAGGAAUUGGCGGGGG
This 818-nucleotide ribosomal RNA is filed under the name uncultured marine archaeon. Its description in RNAcentral is "bacterial SSU rRNA". It matches the Rfam family "Archaeal small subunit ribosomal RNA", at positions 52 to 874 of the family's 1478-position model. The record is from RNAcentral.